GGCUCAGGAUGAACGCUGGCGGCGUGCCUAACACAUGCAAGUCGAACGAAGUCACUUUUUUACGAUCCCGUUCGGGGUGACGAAUUUGUGACUGAGUGGCGGACGGGUGAGUAACGCGUGGGAAACCUGCCUUGUACCGGGGGAUAGCAGUUGGAAACGACUGAUAAUACCGCAUAAGCGCACAGUAUCACAUGAUACAGUGUGAAAAACUCCGGUGGUACAAGAUGGUCCCGCGUCUGAUUAGCUUGUUGGCGGGGCAACGGCCCACCAAGGCGACGAUCAGUAGCCGACCUGAGAGGGUGACCGGCCACAUUGGGACUGAGACACGGCCCAAACUCCUACGGGAGGCAGCAGUGGGGAAUAUUGCACAAUGGAGGAAACUCUGAUGCAGCGACGCCGCGUGAGCGAUGAAGUAUUUCGGUAUGUAAAGCUCUAUCAGCAGGGAAGAUAAUGACGGUACCUGAGUAAGAAGCUCCGGCUAAAUACGUG
RNAcentral lists this ribosomal RNA (489 nucleotides) under uncultured bacterium. RNAcentral's name for it is "bacterial SSU rRNA". It matches the Rfam family "Bacterial small subunit ribosomal RNA", at positions 21 to 507 of the family's 1533-position model. The record is from RNAcentral.